Molecule: ribosomal RNA, 835 nt
Filed under: uncultured eukaryote
Lineage: Eukaryota
Description: bacterial SSU rRNA
Rfam family: Eukaryotic small subunit ribosomal RNA
Source: RNAcentral
UUCCAGCUCCAAUAGCGUAUAUUAAAGUUGUUGCAGUUAAAAAGCUCGUAGUUGAACUUCAGACCUGGCUGGGUGGUCCGCUUAACGGCGUGUACUGCUUGGCUGGGCCUUACUUCUUGGUGAGCCGGCGUGCCCUUUAUUGGUGUGCGUCGGGGAACCAGGACUUUUACCUUGAGAAAAUUAGAGUGUUCAAAGCAGGCUAUCCUCGCCUGAAUACUGCGUGCAUGGAAUAAUGGAAUAGGACCUCGGUUCUAUUUUGUUGGUUUUCGGAACCCCGAGGUAAUGAUUAAUAGGGACAGAUGGGGGCAUUCGUAUUGCGACGUUAGAGGUGAAAUUCUUGGAUCGUCGCAAGACGGACAGAAGCGAAAGCAUUUGCCAAAAAUGUUUUCAUUAAUCAAGAACGAAAGUUAGAGGUUCGAAGGCGAUCAGAUACCGCCCUAGUUCUAACCAUAAACGAUGCCAGCUAGCGAUCCGCCGAAGUUCCUCCGAUGACUCGGCGGGCAGCUUCCGGGAAACCAAAGCUUUUGGGUUCCGGGGGAAGUAUGGUUGCAAAGCUGAAACUUAAAGGAAUUGACGGAAGGGCACCACCAGGAGUGGAGCCUGCGGCUUAAUUUGACUCAACACGGGAAACCUCACCAGGCCCAGACACCGGAAGGAUUGACAGAUUGAUAGCUCUUUCUUGAUUCGGUGGGUGGUGGUGCAUGGCCGUUCUUAGUUGGUGGAGCGAUUUGUCUGGUUAAUUCCGAUAACGAACGAGACUCUAGCCUGCUAAAUAGGCGUACCUUAUGGUAUCGCGAAGGCCCCCGGCUUCGGCCGGUGGGUUUUUACUACCAAC